This is a long non-coding RNA of Aricia agestis (brown argus), 97 nucleotides long. RefSeq lists it as uncharacterized. The record is from RefSeq and is a predicted model, not a curated record. The transcript is spliced from 3 exons. Lineage: Eukaryota; Metazoa; Arthropoda; Insecta; Lepidoptera; Lycaenidae.
GUCCACUUCGGGCAAUCCUGCCAACGCGUUGCCGGCAAUAUUCCCACCUUCGGAAAUAUUGCUGGCAUCAGCAAAACCGUACAUAUGACUUAAAAUA